Myzus persicae (green peach aphid) is the source of this 424-nucleotide long non-coding RNA. RefSeq lists it as uncharacterized. The transcript has 2 exons. Lineage: Eukaryota; Metazoa; Arthropoda; Insecta; Hemiptera; Aphididae. The record is from RefSeq and is a predicted model, not a curated record.
ACGUCGUAUGAUGUCCCGAACGUAAACGUGUUUUUUUCCUUCCUCUCUUCCUUCUUCCUCUGUAUUUUUUUUCUCUAUUUCAUUUAUUUUUUACUAUGAAACUCACGCCAUUCAUUAUCGGCGUAUACUUUGAACGGGAUAACAUCGGACCAUUUCGGGCACGUCACACAAACCGUGGCCUGAUUGCAAGCGGCGCGGGGGUUCGAUCGGCACAUAUACAAUAAUAUGUCAGGAUUUUCAAACUACCUGCAGGCUGCAGCAGAACGAGGCAAAAGACCUUGCACCCGGAUUACAUCAACAGCAAUAUUGAAAAUCAGGCAUCCCAUCAAACCUUGCAUUUUUAUAUUUUCUACCAUGUAUUUUGUAUACACACUACUAUAGCAUGCUAUAGGAACUAUUAUAAUCAAUUAUAAUAAUAUGUGUA